GUGGGGAAUAUUGGGCAAUGGGCGCAAGCCUGACCCAGCAACGCCGCGUGAAGGAAGAAGGCUUUCGGGUUGUAAACUUCUUUUAAGAGGGAAGAGCAGAAGACGGUACCUUUAGAAUAAGCCACGGCUAACUACGUGCCAGCAGCCGCGGUAAUACGUAGGUGGCAAGCGUUGUCCGGAUUUACUGGGUGUAAAGGGCGUGCAGCCGGGUCUGCAAGUCAGAUGUGAAAUCCAUGGGCUCAACCCAUGAACUGCAUUUGAAACUGUAGAUCUUGAGUGUCGGAGGGGCAAUCGGAAUUCCUAGUGUAGCGGUGAAAUGCGUAGAUAUUAGGAGGAACACCAGUGGCGAAGGCGGAUUGCUGGACGAUAACUGACGGUGAGGCGCGAAAGUGUGGGGAGCAAACAGGA
RNAcentral lists this ribosomal RNA (408 nucleotides) under uncultured bacterium. Its description in RNAcentral is "bacterial SSU rRNA". It matches the Rfam family "Bacterial small subunit ribosomal RNA", at positions 354 to 777 of the family's 1533-position model. The record is from RNAcentral.